UACGUAGGGUGCGAGCGUUGUCCGGAAUUACUGGGCGUAAAGCGUGCGCAGGCGGUUUUGUAAGUCUGACGUGAAAUCCCCGGGCUCAACCUGGGAAUUGCGUUGGAGACUGCAAGGCUAGAAUCUGGCAGAGGGGGGUAGAAUUCCACGUGUAGCAGUGAAAUGCGUAGAGAUGUGGAGGAACACCGAUGGCGAAGGCAGCCCCCUGGGUCAAGAUUGACGCUCAUGCACGAAAGCGUGGGGAGCGAACAGG
RNAcentral lists this ribosomal RNA (253 nucleotides) under uncultured bacterium. RNAcentral's name for it is "partial 16S ribosomal RNA". It matches the Rfam family "Bacterial small subunit ribosomal RNA", at positions 524 to 776 of the family's 1533-position model. The record is from RNAcentral.